CGGGUGGUAAUGCCGGAUGCUCCAUCACACCGCAUGGUGUGUUGGGAAAGCCUUUGCGGCAUGGGAUGGGGUCGCGUCCUAUCAGCUUGAUGGCGGGGUAACGGCCCACCAUGGCUUCGACGGGUAGCCGGCCUGAGAGGGCGACCGGCCACAUUGGGACUGAGAUACGGCCCAGACUCCUACGGGAGGCAGCAGUGGGGAAUAUUGCACAAUGGGCGCAAGCCUGAUGCAGCGACGCCGCGUGAGGGAUGGAGGCCUUCGGGUUGUAAACCUCUUUUGUUAGGGAGCAAGGCAUUUUGUGUUGAGUGUACCUUUCGAAUAAGCACCGGCUAACUACGUGCCAGCAGCCGCGGUAAUACGUAGGGUGCAAGCGUUAUCCGGAAUUAUUGGGCGUAAAGGGCUCGUAGGCGGUUCGUCGCGUCCGGUGUGAAAGUCCAUCGCUUAACGGUGGAUCCGCGCCGGGUACGGGCGGGCUUGAGUGCGGUAGGGGAGACUGGAAUUCCCGGUGUAACGGUGGAAUGUGUAGAUA
RNAcentral lists this ribosomal RNA (529 nucleotides) under Bifidobacterium breve. RNAcentral's name for it is "bacterial SSU rRNA". It matches the Rfam family "Bacterial small subunit ribosomal RNA", at positions 157 to 696 of the family's 1533-position model. Lineage: Bacteria; Bacillati; Actinomycetota; Actinomycetes; Bifidobacteriales; Bifidobacteriaceae. The record is from RNAcentral.